CACAAGUGUGUGUGGAGUUUUCAUGGAUGCCAUGAGCCAGGCUCUGCCCCUAGAACAAGUUGCCAGCCUCUGUCCUAUAUCUUCAUAACUACUGCCCACAUAGCCAGGCACUGACGGGAGCUUUAGAAGCACAAGGUUCACGCGUGAACGGCACUGACAACUGAAAAACACACUUGAAACUUGAAACUUGGAACAUGGAGGAAGAGCAAACAGCAAACGCCUAGGCGACUUCAGUCCUGCUGCCCUGUGACCACCCUGGGUUUUACAUGUUAGUGGAAAUUCCUGUUCUUGUAAACUCAAAGGCUCCCAUA
Long non-coding RNA from Chinchilla lanigera (long-tailed chinchilla), 311 nucleotides. RefSeq lists it as uncharacterized. The record is from RefSeq and is a predicted model, not a curated record. The transcript is spliced from 3 exons. NCBI's taxonomy places the organism in Eukaryota, Metazoa, Chordata, Mammalia, Rodentia, Chinchillidae.